Molecule: ribosomal RNA, 406 nt
Filed under: uncultured bacterium
Lineage: Bacteria
Description: bacterial SSU rRNA
Rfam family: Bacterial small subunit ribosomal RNA
Source: RNAcentral
GGGAAUAUUGGGCAAUGGGCGCAAGCCUGACCCAGCAACGCCGCGUGAAGGAAGAAGGCUUUCGGGUUGUAAACUUCUUUUCUCAGGGACGAAGCAAGUGACGGUACCUGAGGAAUAAGCAUCGGCUAACUCCGUGCCAGCAGCCGCGGUAAUACGGGGGAUGCAAGCGUUAUCCGGAUUUAUUGGGUUUAAAGGGUGCGUAGGCUGUGAGGUAAGUCAGCGGUGAAAUGCCCCCGCUCAACGGGGUGAAGUGCCAUUGAUACUGCCUUGCUGGAAUGCGGAUGCCGUGGGAGGAAUGUGUGGUGUAGCAGUGAAAUGCAUAGAUAUCACACAGAACACCGAUUGCGAAGGCAUCUCACGAAUCCGCGAUUGACGCUGAUGCACGAAAGCGUGGGUAUCAAACAGG